GAGUAGCGCGUGCGUGCGGGAGAGCCAGGUUCCCGGGUAUCCUGCCUGGCCCCACCCUCAGGAAGAUCCAGCAUCUUCUCUGGGCCUGAAGAGAUGUGCCCUCAGACCAGCAAGGCAGUCCAUUUCGUGUAUGCUCUGACACCCUUAGGACCCAAGAGCCUGAAAGUGUCACCUGACAAAAGAGGCCACAGGGAAGCACAGACUGCCGUAUUGCUACUGCUGUGUCCAUACCUGCAUCCACGUCAUUGGGCCAUCCACUAGACUGGCUGCUGCCAGCUGCUGGGGAGCGGCCUGUCCCAGGAUAGAACACGUCAUCAACUGGGCUCUCCAUCUCACUGUCAUCGAUGGACUUGGGGCGCUUGGUGGUGCUGAAGAGGAAGAAGCAAGUCAAGUGGGCCAAAGUUCCAGGCCCCCAGUUCCUGGAGUAGAAACACCUCCAGACCUGCUCUCCCUCGGGCUGCCAUCAAAGAACAGACAAAACACCUUCAUCUGCCUUCUACACCCCGCCCACUAUUUCCUAUCAGCUCUCAGCUGUGCCAUGGAACUCAGUCAUUAAAGACUGUUUUAAGUCAA
Long non-coding RNA from Grammomys surdaster, 573 nucleotides. RefSeq lists it as uncharacterized. The transcript has 2 exons. Lineage: Eukaryota; Metazoa; Chordata; Mammalia; Rodentia; Muridae. The record is from RefSeq and is a predicted model, not a curated record.